Humulus lupulus (European hop) is the source of this 2978-nucleotide RNA transcript. RefSeq lists it as uncharacterized. The record is from RefSeq and is a predicted model, not a curated record. NCBI's taxonomy places the organism in Eukaryota, Viridiplantae, Streptophyta, Magnoliopsida, Rosales, Cannabaceae. The transcript has 20 exons.
AAAAUUUUUUUAAACCAAUUUUUAUUUCAACCCUCCCAAGCUCGUGCAGAGAGAGCUUUCUCAAGUUUCAAUGGCUUCUCCUAGCUUUCUCCAAGUUUUCUUCAGCUCUCUUAUUUCUCUCAUCUCUUACACGUCUGUUCCUCAUAUGAUUUCUUCUUCUUCUUCUUCUCUUUUUCUGAUUUUGUUUGGGAUUAGGGUUUGUGAUUUUCCUCCAUUUUCUCUCUGGUUUGUGUAGCUAAUAAGGAAAAAAAAACCAUUGAAAUUUUAGUAAUGAAAUCGAAGCAAACUCCUUUCAGAGUAGUUGGCUAACGCUCUAUCGUUUCUUCACUCCUCACCCCUUCUUCCAAUCCUUUUAGGGUUCCGAAAGAAGAUUCUCAGAAGGAAGGUUUGGAGAAAGGGUCGAGCAUUUCGCUCUCGGACUUCCUCCAGCGGAAGCUCAACGACGAUUCUGGACUCCCCAGGACGGUCAAAAUCAAGAACAUCUUGACUUUGAAGCCAAUAAACUCCAUCUAUAUGUAUGUAAAGGAUAAGUCUGAUUUGAUAUCAUAAAAAAGUGCACUUGCGGACAAGAUCAAUGUAGAGCUGCUCAAGUCUCUUGUAACCCUGACAGGCAAGACAAAGGUAAUGCUUCCUUGAGUUGUCCAAUAUUCCUUUGAGUAUCUCCACCAUGGCUGUCAGAGGCCAAAUAUUCAUAGAGAUGUUAAGAGCAGUAACAUUCUGUUGGACCAGAAUUGGAAGCCUAGGAUUGCUGUUUUUGGACUGGCUAAGAUUGUUCAAACAGAGUAUGCAUACACCUACAAAAUCAAUGAGAAGAGUGAGGUUUAUAGCUUUGGAGUGGUGUUAAUGGAGUUGGUCACAGGAAAGAGGCCAGUGGAGCCAGAGUUUGGAGAGAACAAGGACACAGUUCAUUGGGUUUAUAGAAAAUUCAAGAGCCAAGAGAGUGUGACUGAUUUGGUGGACUCAACCAUAUCAGAGGCUCAAAAAGAAGAUGCCCUUAAAGUGCUGAAAAUUGCAGUGCAUUGUACAUCACAGGUUCCAACUCUAAGGCCCUCCAUGACACUACAACAAAACCCCAUUUCAAUAACACAUCAUUAUAAUACUAUUAAAAAAGUAUUAUUGUAUAUGAGCAAGUCACACGCGGUAAGUGAGUGAAAAAAAAAUGCGCCAAAAAUAUGCCUAAGUCUUUUCUAUAGUAGACUCCCUUUUCAUCUCUUCUGUCUCAUUUUCCUUCUCUCUUUCUCUUCCUGCUAUACCCAUUUCCUGUCCCCUAGCUGUACCCAUUUCCCGUCCCCUAGCUGGAAAACAAGUAAAGACUCAAGCUUAUCUGGUAAAGACUCAACCUUGUCACCACCUCCUCCUCCUCCUCUCUCGGACCGAACCACCUCCACUCUCAGAUCGACCUACUGGAGCCUCGACGAAGAAAAAAAAAUGGAGCCAGCUUAAAUCUCAAGAUAUAUGCUUAAUGCGGUUGUGAAUUAAUGGCCGAAGCCUACUCUUCACUUGGUGCCAUUUUGGAAAAUGUUGAAUCUAGGCAGCUUCGUCACUUGCUAAGUUCUGGUUAAUAGGUCCAUUAUCUAAAGAGGAUAAGGAGAUUGAGUCUAGCUUAGCAAAAUACCUCAAAGAACAGCUCAAAUUACUUGGAGACACAUCAAAUAUUGUGGGUUCACAUUCACGAAGCAUUGAAAAUCUCUCUAUCAAAAUGAAACAAAAUGGAAAUUUUGGAAAAGGCAAGCAAGGCAGCAUUUUUGUGAGACACUGAGAAAUGAAGUUGGUUCAAUCAUUGGCAUAACAAUUGUCACACCUGGGCUCAUUGGGACCAAAAUCUCAUGUGAAUAGCUUAUUUAAUUUAGCAAAAAUCUUCAAUAAUUGAGUCAGCAAUUGGAGAGAGAGACCAAGAAGCUUCCCUCCAUUUAGAAGUAGUUGGGGAUCCAAUUGGCAAGGAGCAUUGCAAAGUUAAUUUGCAAGAGACCUCUCUCCUUCACUCUUUCUCUCUCACCUUUGUCUUUGUGGAGACCGACCGCUACCUUCCCCUACACGCGCCGGCUAGGGAUCUUCAGAGGCCAUCGAAGCUUCGACCACGCGGACCCAAGCCCUCACACGACACCGAAGUCGGAUCGAGCUAUUCGCUUGCAGAAGGUCAAAGAAGCCAUCUUUAGAAUUCUUAUUCGAAAUGAAAUGGUAUGUUUGAUAAUACACACAUCAGGCUAAGUCUAACGCGUGGCAAGAAGGUAAAGAACUUCCACUCUGAAAUUUCAACCUUGUUCGUGUCUGCUUUAUCUAUGGAUGGUCAUAGGAUGAGCACAUUCACUUGAUCAUUGACUGGUUACUUCUGGCAUGAGUCCAGCAUUCAAUCUCUAUGGUUGCACACUAAUAGUGCUUCCCGAAUGGAAACCCCGUCUAUGAUAAUAUGCAUGGUAUAACUCUGGUCACUGCUUCUACUCGUAGUAAUUCUCCAAAUAAUUUGGAUUCAAAGAUUCACCACAAUAACCUUCUCAAUAAUAUACUAGCAAAGGCAGUACCUGAAGAAGCAGUUCCAGCAAAAACAGCUUGCAUGUACUGUUGGACAGUUUCUCUUUUUUUCUGUAGUAUGGAUUUUGGAGUAUGGAAAGAAAACAUCAGAAACACUUACAACAAAUGGGACGGGGUUGCUCGCAGCACCACACAGAAAUCUUAUGAGACAAAACAGUAUAAGAAGGGGUUGAAGGCUGCGGACAUUAUAUUGAAAAAGUUUCCAGACCAUGGAGGUAUAUUGAGAUGAUUUCUUUGGAGCAAUUCUUGACAACAUUUGUAGUUGAGGCAUUUAGAAUGGAAGAAUGUAUUUCACUAAUUUUUGUAUACAUUUCUUGUUUUGUAUUUAGUGAUAAAGGAAUCUGAAUUGGGCAUAAAGUAUGUUGUAAUAUGAUUUCUUAAGCCUAGGCUAGUAGACUAAAUAUUGUAAUUACAUUUGAGUAAUUAAUAAAAAUCUAUUUAUGUUACCU